Vitis vinifera (wine grape) is the source of this 1869-nucleotide long non-coding RNA. RefSeq lists it as uncharacterized. The transcript has 2 exons. The record is from RefSeq and is a predicted model, not a curated record. Lineage: Eukaryota; Viridiplantae; Streptophyta; Magnoliopsida; Vitales; Vitaceae.
AAGCAAACUUUGUGUAGACCCAUUUUUGGGCUCAUUUUUAUCACAUUUCUGUAGGCUUUUCUACCAGGUGGAGGGCUCUCCAGGACUCACGUGUCGCCUUGUGGUUAGCCAUCAGGGAGUCACAAUAAUGGUUAGUGGAUGCAAUGGGGAAGAGACACGUAUGAGGGAAUAUUCAGCAGAGGAGAGUUUUUUUGCAGUGAGGCCGUUAAGAGUGAGGGGGGAUUUGGGGGCUGGCUGGUGACACAGAUAUUUUGGGGGGUGGCUUGGAGAGAAAGACAUCAGGUGAGCGUUUUUUUUUGGGCUGGCUUGGAGGGGCAAGGCAGAGAGGUGUGGGAGGGGAGAUAUUUUUCUUUUCUGGAGUUGUUACAGAGGGUGAGGGAGAGGUUUUAGAGAGACUUGGGAGACAAGAUAGUGGUGGUAGGAAACUUGGGAAAGGAAGAUAGCCUGAGCUGAGAGUAUGUUGGAGAUUUGUGAGUAGGAUAACACGUGGCACAGUACCACUGGCGGUGACGGAAAACCCGUUGUCGUCUCUUCGGCGGGUGAACUAAGAAGAGGAGAUCGCGAUUGGGUGGCGAGUAGCUGUGGAGAGAGCUCUCUCCGCUGUCAAGGUUUCGCUCUUCUCCGUUUUCGUCACAUGUUUGGUUCCCAAGAAAAUAAAGGAAAAACCACGAAGAUAAAAUUAGUCAUUAUGCAAAAUUGCCAAGCUGUUUCCUUCAUUUUCUUGGCAACCAAACAGAGGUUUUAGGGCUUAACGGAGUAAAUUACGUUUUGAUGUUGUUCUCCUUCGUAGGCUGCUAAGGUGAGAUGGCCUGGUUUGUUCGACGGUGUGGAUUCGAAGUUGGAGGAUUGGAUUUUUGAUUAGAUGUUCAUAGUAGGCUAAAUUGGGAGCAGAGAAUUCAUGAAUCUUGAUGUUUUUCUCAAUGCGAGUUUCUUCGGCAAGAAGAAGUGCUUCAAUUUCUUCAACUGCAUAUGGGUCGAUUCUUGAGCUUAUUGAGAUGAUGAAUGUUUCAUAUUCUUGAAGUAAUCCUUCAAACACUGCAUUUAUAUGAUCUUUAUCAAAAAGAUUAUGGCCAACUAAAGCCAAGUGAUCAAUAAUAUUUCUAAUCUUGAAAAGGUAAUCGCUUAUAGACAGAUCACAUUUCUUUGUGUUGUGAAACUGAGUCUUGAACUGGGUUAUUUUAGCUCGUACUUGAGUGGAAAAAUAUUGUUCAAGAGUCUUCCAUACCUGAGCUGAAGUAUCACAAUUAAUCAUACGUGUUAGAAGGGCAUCUGAUAUGGAUGCAAGAAUCCAUGACAUGAUGAGUUGGUCCUGUUGCUCCCAAUCUUGAAACUUAGGAUUGAUGAGACAAUGAUGUUCAUUCAUCACUUGGAGACAUGAAUUUUGAGGGUAGAACUAUUGAUUCAGAAAGAAAAUUUUGAAGUUUACGACCUCUUAAAAUUGUUAGUAUUCGCUUUCGCCAUAUCAGAAAGUUUUUGUUGUCCAAUUUGGACGAGAUUGGAUGAGAAAAAGAAACUAGAAGGAGACUAGUGGUUCUUGCAGUGUUCUCCAUGGAGGUUAUCGAUGAAGUUUCCAUGGCUUAGGGUAGAGCAGGCUCUGAUACCAUGUUAAGGAAUAAGAGAAUCAGGAAGGAAAGAAAUUAUGAAAAGUGAAAAGAAGAAACGAUUGUUCUAACAGAAUGAGACACAGUGUGUUAUAGGUAAGGUGGUUUAGCUAUUAUUAAACUGAAGCUAACUGAUUGGCUUAAUUGUUACUAAUUACAGUUUCAAUUGGGUAGUUUUUGUCUGCAGUACUUUUGCAUGGCUUCAGUCAGAGAGAGUAGAGAUUAGUUUUUGCUCUGAUUAUCAUGAAUGGAAAUGGUUUGUUUGUUU